UGUUGAAAUUUUCAUCUAUUUCUACGGUUAAAAACUGAUGUGGUUGAUAUUAUAACUAGAAAGUUAUACCAGGUGUAUAGGGACCAAUUUUUAAGAGUAGAAAUUGAUGAAAUUUUUAACU
Non-coding RNA from Gossypium hirsutum (cotton), 121 nucleotides. Lineage: Eukaryota; Viridiplantae; Streptophyta; Magnoliopsida; Malvales; Malvaceae. The record is from Rfam.